This 56-nucleotide transfer RNA is filed under the name Gammaproteobacteria bacterium. RNAcentral describes it as "tRNA-His". It matches the Rfam family "tRNA", at positions 8 to 61 of the family's 71-position model. Rfam says of the family: Transfer RNA (tRNA) molecules are approximately 80 nucleotides in length. Their secondary structure includes four short double-helical elements and three loops (D, anti-codon, and T loops). The record is from RNAcentral. Lineage: Bacteria; Pseudomonadati; Pseudomonadota; Gammaproteobacteria.
UAGCUCAGUUGGUAGAGCUCCGGGUUGUGAUCCCGGCGGUCGUGGGUUCAAGCCCC